This 253-nucleotide ribosomal RNA is filed under the name uncultured bacterium. Its description in RNAcentral is "partial 16S ribosomal RNA". It matches the Rfam family "Bacterial small subunit ribosomal RNA", at positions 524 to 776 of the family's 1533-position model. The record is from RNAcentral.
UACAGAAGCCUCAAGCGUUACCCGGAUUUAUUGGGCGUAAAGGAUGCGUAGGCGGUUAUAUUAGUCUUGUGUUAAAACUUUGGGCUUAACCUAAAGAUCGCACAGGAAACGGUAUAACUAGAAGAAGUGAGAGGUGAACAGAACUCUCGGUGUAGGGGUGAAAUCCGUUGAUAUCGAGGGGAAUACCAAAUGCGAAGGCAGUUCACUGGCACUUUCUUGACGCUGAGGCAUGAAAGCGUGGGUAGCGAAUCGG